Molecule: ribosomal RNA, 1147 nt
Filed under: uncultured organism
Description: bacterial SSU rRNA
Rfam family: Bacterial small subunit ribosomal RNA
Source: RNAcentral
GAGUAAAGAUUUCGGUCGCUUUGGGAGGAGCUCGCUUACUAUCAGCUUGUUGGUAGGGUAAUGGCCUACCAAGGCUAUGACGGUUAGGGGGUGUGAGAGCAUGACCCCCAGCAUUGGCACUGAAACACUGGCCAAACACCUACGGGUGGCUGCAGUCGAGAAUCUUCCACAAUGGGGGAAACCCUGAUGGAGCGAUGCUGCGUGCGGGAUGAAGGCCUUCGGGUUGUAAACCGCUUUUGUAGGGGACGGAAUUUUUGACGGUACCCUUUCGAAUAAGAGGUUGCUAACUCUGUGCCAGCAGCAGCGGUAAUACAGAGACCUCAAGCGUUAUCCGGAUUUACUGGGCGUAAAGCGUCUGUAGGGGGUUUAUUAAGUUCCAAGUAAAAUUUCAAGGCUCAACUUUGAAUUCGCUUGGAAAACUAAUAAACUGGAGUCUAGCAGAGGUGCAUGGAACUUGUGGUGUAGGAGUGAAAUCCGUUGAUAUCACAAGGAACACCAAAGGCGAAGGCAUUGCACUGGGCUAGCACUGACCCUGAGAGACGAAAGCGUGGGGAGCAAAACGGAUUAGAUACCCGUGUAGUCCACGCCCUAAACGAUGAAUGCUAAAUGUUCGGGGAUUCGACCCCCUGGGUGUUACAGCUAACGCGUUAAGCAUUCCGCCUGGGAAGUACGGCCGCAAGGCUAAAACUCAAAGGAAUAGACGGGGAUCCGCACAAGCGGUGGAGCGUCUGGUUUAAUUCGACAGUAAGCGUGGUACCUCACCAGGGUUUGACAUCCCUUGACAGCCUUGGAAACAAGGUUUCCUUCGGGCAAGGUGACAGGUGCUGCAUGGUCGUCGUCAGUUCGUGCCGUGAGGUGUUCCGUUAAGUCGGGAAACGAACGAAACCCCUAUUGCAUGUUACAAUUUCUCAUGCAAGACUGCCCGGAUAUACUGGGAGGAAGGUGGGGAUGACGUCAGAUCUGCAUGGUCCUUAUACCCUGGGCGACACAGGCGCUACAAUGGCAGAGACAAAGGGUUGCAAAACCGCAAGGUGAAGCUAAUCCCAAAAACUUUGUCUAAGUUCGGAUUGAAGGCUGCAAUUCGCCUUCAUGAAGCUGGAAUCGCUAGUAGUCGUGAAUCAGCCACGUCACGGUGAAUAUGUUCCCG